This 433-nucleotide ribosomal RNA is filed under the name uncultured bacterium. Its description in RNAcentral is "bacterial SSU rRNA". It matches the Rfam family "Bacterial small subunit ribosomal RNA", at positions 29 to 507 of the family's 1533-position model. The record is from RNAcentral.
AAUGAACGCUGGCGGCAGGCCUAACACAUGCAAGUCGAGCGCGCCCUUCGGGGUGAGCGGCGGACGGGUGAGUAACGCGUGGGAACGUGCCCUUUGCUACGGAAUAGUCUCGGGAAACUGGGGGUAAUACCGUAUGAGCCCUUCGGGGGAAAGAUUUAUCGGCAAAGGAUCGGCCCGCGUUGGAUUAGCUAGUUGGUGAGGUAACGGCUCACCAAGGCGACGAUCCAUAGCUGGUCUGAGAGGAUGAUCAGCCACACUGGGACUGAGACACGGCCCAGACUCCUACGGGAGGCAGCAGUGGGGAAUAUUGGACAAUGGGCGCAAGCCUGAUCCAGCCAUGCCGCGUGAGUGAUGAAGGCCUUAGGGUUGUAAAGCUCUUUCAGUGGGGACGAUAAUGACGGUACCCACAGAAGAAGCCCCGGCUAACUUCGUG